This is a long non-coding RNA of Spinacia oleracea (spinach), 585 nucleotides long. RefSeq lists it as uncharacterized. The transcript has 3 exons. The record is from RefSeq and is a predicted model, not a curated record. NCBI's taxonomy places the organism in Eukaryota, Viridiplantae, Streptophyta, Magnoliopsida, Caryophyllales, Amaranthaceae.
CGUUCUUUCAUACUUUCCCUCUCCUCAAUCACAAACAUUUUCUCUCUCCUCAUUCUCUCCAUCUCCUUCUUCUCUCUCCUCAUUCACAGACAUCUUAUCUCUCUCGAGCUUCGUCGCGACUUCUUCGUCAAUUUCUCUCAAUUUCAAGGUUCAAUUUCUCUCUCCUCCAUUAGCCAUGCUGCCAAAAACUAAGGGAGUUACUUCGGUUGGAGCAACUAGGUAUUCAUGUGUGCAUGGUGUCAUAUCAUCGCAAGCAUAGAGCUUACUGAUCUGAUUGGCAAUAACAGUGGGUGAGUGAGUCAUUGCGAUGUCUAGCUGGUGCAGCUACAGUUUGGCCGAGAUAAGGAGUAAUUAUCUUCUAAGGAUGAGAAAUACGGAAGAGAAUGAUGGUUCCUUCUACUCCCUGGAUGUCCAUGAUGACACCUCCACAAGAAAUUUCGGAGUGAGACAUGUUGGUGUUUGGGACGUUUAUAUUAUUAUCACGGUGUAUGGUUGGAUUCAUUGUUUUGUGAGGAACUUAUGUUGUAUUUUACUUUUGUAUUCUCCCAUUUGGGGCAUUUUAUAUUGUAUUUCUAUUAAGUAUUA